UGGAGGUUUAGCUCAGUUGGGAGAGCAUCUGCCUUACAAGCAGAGGGUCAGCGGUUCGAGCCCGUUAACCUCCAU
This 75-nucleotide transfer RNA is filed under the name Marinilactibacillus psychrotolerans. RNAcentral describes it as "tRNA-Val". It matches the Rfam family "tRNA". From Rfam's summary of the family: Transfer RNA (tRNA) molecules are approximately 80 nucleotides in length. Their secondary structure includes four short double-helical elements and three loops (D, anti-codon, and T loops). Lineage: Bacteria; Bacillati; Bacillota; Bacilli; Lactobacillales; Carnobacteriaceae. RNAcentral also lists the same sequence under 4 other names. The record is from RNAcentral.